AUUGAACGCUGGCGGCAGGCCUAACACAUGCAAGUCGAGCGAGCGGCGGACGGGUGAGUAAUGUAUGGGGACUGCCCGAUAGAGGGGGAUAACUACUGGAAACGGUGGCUAAUACCGCAUACUAUCGGAUAACCCAUAUGGGAUUAGCUAGUAGGUGGGGUAAAGGCUCACCUGGGCGACGAUCUCUAGCUGGUCUGAGAGGAUGUAAAGACACAAUGAGUCUGAGAAACGGGCCAGACUACUACGGAGGCAGAAGGGGGGAAUAUUGGACGAUAGGGGGAAGACUGGUGCAGACAUGCCGGGUGGAAAAAGAAGGACUUAGGGGUGUAAAAAACUUUCAACGGGGAGGCGUUACCCGCAGAAGAAGCACCGGCUAAAUCCGGGCCAGCCGACGCGGUAAUUC
Molecule: ribosomal RNA, 403 nt
Filed under: uncultured bacterium
Lineage: Bacteria
Description: partial 16S ribosomal RNA
Rfam family: Bacterial small subunit ribosomal RNA
Source: RNAcentral